This 584-nucleotide ribosomal RNA is filed under the name uncultured archaeon. Its description in RNAcentral is "bacterial SSU rRNA". It matches the Rfam family "Archaeal small subunit ribosomal RNA", at positions 85 to 674 of the family's 1478-position model. The record is from RNAcentral.
ACGGCUCAGUAACACGUGGAUAACCUACCCUGAGGAGAGGGAUAACCCCGGAAAACUGGGGAUAAUACCUCAUAGAUCAGAGAUGCUGGAAUGCUUUCUGGUCCAAAGGUCCGCCGCCUCAGGAUGGGUCUGCGGCCGAUUAGGUUGUUGUUGGGGUAACGGCCCAACAAGCCUUUGAUCGGUACGGGUUGUGGGAGCAAGAGCCCGGAGAUGGAUUCUGAGACACGAAUCCAGGCCCUACGGGGCGCAGCAGGCGCGAAAACUUUACAAUGCGAGAAAUCGUGAUAAGGGAACCCCGAGUGCCCGUAAAUCCGGGCUGUCCAUCAGUGUAAAUAACUGGUGAAGAAAGGGCCGGGCAAGACCGGUGCCAGCCGCCGCGGUAAUACCGGCGGCUCGAGUGGUGGCCGCUAUUACUGGGCUUAAAGCGUUCGUAGCUGGGCUGUUAAGUCCCCUGGGAAAUCCACCGGCUCAACCGAUGGGCGUUCAAGGGAUACUGGCAGCCUAGGGACCGGGAGAGGUGAGGGGUACUUCAGGGGUAGGAGUGAAAUCCUGUAAUCCUUGGGGGGCCACCUGUGGCGAAGGCG